This 1853-nucleotide long non-coding RNA is filed under the name Theobroma cacao (cacao). Its description in RNAcentral is "long non-coding RNA (TCAC_LNC005410)". Lineage: Eukaryota; Viridiplantae; Streptophyta; Magnoliopsida; Malvales; Malvaceae. The record is from RNAcentral.
AGAUAACCAGGAUAUGAAAUUUACUUUACAGUGACUCGUGGGCCCAUAAGGAACAAAAGUGCACAAAGGCAGUAAACCUAUAGUUUUUGGAGUAGUAAAGCCGACUAUAAUCCUUGAUGAUAUCUACUAUCCACAGGCUACCUCGGGCCUGAAAUGGUUAAAAAGGAGGGUGGUGAGAUUAUAGAAUCCCAGUGAGUAAACAGAUACCAUCUAAACCAUCUAAAGUCGAGUAAAUGGAGGCAGAUAAAACAAUUUAACAUACUUAAAUUCAUCACCUUUCAACUUGUUUCAACCAAAUAAAAUCAAUUCAUAUAAAUCGAGUAAUUAACAUGGCUUAUGAAUUUCUUAAAACUUUGGCUCGUGCCAAAAUCAUUAUCAUACUCAGUCAUUAGGGAUACCUUACGCGAGAGCUAUCCCAAACCGAGUCCGCCAAGGCUGUUAAAAGUUAUGUACGCAUAAAUCAUGUUUUUAUUUUGAAAACAUAGCUGUUCCUUGGCGUUGGUUGAGUUCACCCUCACGUGGUGGUUUGGGUGAAGUGAACUCUAAAAUGUUAACCUCAGGAGUUAUCCAACUGCGCCUCUCAUACUGAGGUAAGAUAUGACGGGGUUUACCGUGCCCCUCUAAUAGGCUGGUCCACGAAAACCAGCCCACUGCAGCAAGCUCAACCCCACCAUAUAAUAAAAAUUCAACAACAUGACAUGGCUAUUUUUAUUAUUAUCCAGCCUAUCAAGGCAAACAAUAGUUUAUAUAUUUCAACACAAAUACCAAUUCAGCCAUUCAUGCCAAUAUUGUCAUAAGCCAAUCAAUUAGAAUCAUAAAUUCACAACACAUCAAAUGGUUUUCAAUUACUCUAUUUUCAAAGCCAUUAUUCAAUUUCAAGACAAUUUUAUAAAAUUAUUUCAUUUAAUCACAUUUUUGCUUAUAAAACAUAAAGAUUUGCCAUUUAAACUCAUUUUUCAUAAAUCACAAAAUCGGAUAAAAACCACUUUAGAUAAUUAACACGAUAGUAAGGUUACUCACAGUACUAAGAGUUCGAUAUACUCCUAUUCCCGAUCUUCGAGCACAAUCUCUUUACCCUUGUUAGAGGGCUCACCAUCUAUACAUCAUACGUGACACGAAUUUCAAUAAAUUGUGUCAAUUUAUCAUAAACUAUUUCAAGCUCUAUAAAUCUAUAUGAAUGCACUAAAUGUGAUGCAAAAUGUCCGAAUAGCUGUUUAAAUACGAUAUUCGACCUAAUUUGCACUAUUCUCGGUGUAAUUGGCUAAAACCUCCAAUUUAACUCCAAAUCAAUUUCUUUUACUUUCUACACUCCAAUUAUACUUAAAAUACCUCAAUGACUGUGAAUAUGAUUCAAUUUAUUAGUCCGAACCAUAAAUCGCACAUGUCUAUACAUUAGGUAAACAUUCAGAUUUUCAUUCCAAAAUUUCCCAUUAAAUUUCUAGCCUCACCAAUCAUUAAAUACCACUAAAAUAUCAUGAAAUAUCAUCAAUUUCAGCCUCAAUAUCCUCCCUAGAAAACUCAGCCUCUUGUGGGUUUGUGAAGAACAAAGUGAUUCCUUGCUAGAUUUUCAUACUUUCCAUUACCAAACAACCAAAAACACUUAAUUAGCUUGAAAUCUAGCAAAAUCAAUGCUCAAAACCUCUCCUCUCAAAUUUGGCCAGCAUUGGUUCAUCAUGUAAACUUGAGUUCUAAGCAUGGAAAAUGAAAAAGAAAGCAUGGGUAGUGUAAAUCACAAGGUAAAAUCACAAAAUCUUACCUUUAUUAGCUUAAUCCCUUGAAAUCCCACACUUUUUCUUCAAUUUUCCUACCUAGGGUUUGUGUUCUUUCCUUUCCUCUUCAGUUCAUGCUUUGGC